CUACGUGCCAGCAGCCGCGGUAAUACGGAAGGUCCGGGCGUUAUCCGGAUUUAUUGGGUUUAAAGGGAGCGUAGGCCGUGGAUUAAGCGUGUUGUGAAAUGUAGACGCUCAACGUCUGAAUUGCAGCGCGAACUGGUUCACUUGAGUAUGCACAACGUAGGCGGAAUUCGUCGUGUAGCGGUGAAAUGCUUAGAUAUGACGAAGAACUCCGAUUGCGAAGGCAGCUGACGGGAGCGCAACUGACGCUGAAGCUCGAAGGUGCGGGUAUCGAACAGGAUUAGAUACCCUGGUAGUCCGCACAGUAAACGAUGGAUGCCCACUGUUGGUACCUGGUAUCAGCGGCUAAGCGAAAGCAUUAAGCAUCCCACCUGGGGAGUACGCCGGCAACGGUGAAACUCAAAGGAAUUGACGGGGGCCCGCACAAGCGGAGGAACAUGUGGUUUAAUUCGAUGAUACGCGAGGAACCUUACCCGGGCU
This 477-nucleotide ribosomal RNA is filed under the name uncultured bacterium. RNAcentral's name for it is "bacterial SSU rRNA". It matches the Rfam family "Bacterial small subunit ribosomal RNA", at positions 501 to 981 of the family's 1533-position model. The record is from RNAcentral.